RNAcentral lists this ribosomal RNA (497 nucleotides) under uncultured bacterium. RNAcentral's name for it is "partial 16S ribosomal RNA". It matches the Rfam family "Bacterial small subunit ribosomal RNA", at positions 28 to 507 of the family's 1533-position model. The record is from RNAcentral.
GAUGAACGCUGGCGGCGUGCCUAAUACAUGCAAGUCGAGCGAACGGACGAGAAGCUUGCUUCUCUGAUGUUAGCGGCGGACGGGUGAGUAACACGUGGAUAACCUACCUAUAAGACUGGGAUAACUUCGGGAAACCGUAGCUAAUACCGGAUAAUAUUUUGAACCGCAUGGUUCAAAAGUGAAAGACGGUCUUGCUGUCACUUAUAGAUGGAUCCGCGCUGCAUUAGCUAGUUGGUAAGGUAACGGCUUACCAAGGCAACGAUGCAUAGCCGACCUGAGAGGGUGAUCGGCGACACUGGAACUGAGACAGGGUCCAGACUCCUACGGGAGGCAGCAGUAGGGAAUCGGCCGCAACGGGCGAAAGCAUGACGGAGCAACGCGGCGUGAGUGAUGAAGGUCUUCGGAUCGGAAAACUCUGUUAUUAGGGAAGAACAGAUGUGUAAGUAACUGUGCACAUCGUGACGGUACCUAAUCAGAAAGCCACGGCUAACUACGUG